This 274-nucleotide ribosomal RNA is filed under the name uncultured bacterium. Its description in RNAcentral is "partial 16S ribosomal RNA". It matches the Rfam family "Bacterial small subunit ribosomal RNA", at positions 523 to 796 of the family's 1533-position model. The record is from RNAcentral.
AUACAGGGGGUGCGAGCGUUAAUCGGAAUUACUGGGCGUAAAGAGUACGUAGGCGGUUGCUUAAGUCAGAUGUGAAAGCCCCGGGCUCAACCUGGGAACUGCAUUUGAAACUGAGUGACUAGAGUUUAAGAGAGGGGAGUAGAAUUCCGGGUGUAGCGGUGAAAUGCGUAGAGAUCCGGAGGAGUACCAGUGGCGAAGGCGGCUCCCUGGCUUAAAACUGACGCUGAGGUACGAAAGCGUGGGUAGCAAACAGGAUUAGAAACCCCAGUAGUCC